GGAACGUAUUGAUUAAUUUAGAAUGGAUCAUAAAGAAAUCAGGCCAGGAUAUAUAUCGCUGCUGAAUUGUUGAUAAAUUGCUGGGAAAAAAAAAGGACAUUAAAUGAAAUGAUAAAAUUUCGUUAACUUUUAGCUACCAUUAAAAUAAAGAGAAACUGUGAGCGGGAAGUAGUACAUAUUUCACGCGGGCAAAUUAAGCCCAAAAAUCUAACACAGGUUAGACAAAGAGAGAGAAUAUUAUGUUUUAUGAUCUGAAGGCUGAAUAAAGAAAUUGAGUAACUAUACCACAGGUUCUUAACAUUGGUCAGGUUAACCAGUGUACGUAAAUAUCAUCCCACAGAUACACAAUCAGAGUAAAGGUCCAACUUUCAGUAGAGUGGAGGGAAAGUGGGACAGAAAGGAGGUGAUCUGGAAGGUUCCUUAGAGGAAGACAAGCUAUUCAAGCACUCCAACGUGGGCUGUAACAAAGAACCAGGAAUACACACCAGGUUCAGCACAUAUAUUUCACACAUAUAUUUUCAAUGGUGAGAUGGGUAAGAGGACGAUGGCGCGGACCAGGUGGAAUACAUAGAGCAGGAGGCAUACAUGUCUAACAACGUCCACUUUUGAGUGAUAUACAAGAUAGGGAACACGAAGUACAUUCGGACGAUUCAACUCAACCACCAAAUGUUGGUGGUGAUGAGACAGUGGAAGCUAUAGCAAAUGAGGCUGAAAGGGUUGUGAGCACUGAACAUAAUGAAGCUUUGCCAACUCGAAAACGUGGUCGGGGACCAGCAAAAGACACGCUUUUUGAACGCAUUCGGAAAUUUGGGAAAAUACCUCUGAAUAUUAAGGAUGGACAAAGAGGUCCAUGUUGUGAGAAUUACAACAUAUUUUCUGGACGAGUGACAACGAUUGUUAGACUUCAUGCAAACAUGCGCUAUGCAAGCUGGAAACAAGUAUCUAAAGAGGAGAAAGAGGAGCUAAUUGACCGUGUUCGAGUAUACAAGUUUUAUUUAUCUGUUUUGUCAGAUCCUUUUUUAGUAAAACUAUUAUUGCUGCAUGAUAUUUCACUAAUGCAUUGUUUCAUAGGCUGACUUUAUAUUAGAUUGAACACAAAGUUCCCAUCGUGAGUGUGUGACAAAUGCUCUCCAUCGAAAAUACAAUGCAUUCCACUACCUUCUACGCAAGCAAUACUUGGGCUAUUCAUCACAUGAAGCCGCACUUUCUGGCGGGACAACCUGGGUGGAGAAGCCCGUUUGGGAUUACUUAUGUGGAUUGUGGUCGGGUGAACCAUUUAUGAAAAUGUCACAGAGAAAUAGCACAAAUAGGAAAAAACAGCGAAUCAACCAUACAAGUGGCCGAAAGCCUUUCGUUAGGGUUAUGGAGGAAACUAAUGAACAAGCCCCGAACUUGGUAGCUUUUUACAAAGAAGUGCAUUGGUCAAAAAAGAAAGGUGGAUUUAUCACCAACACUGCAGAACAAAAUUAUAAUCUGAUGCUUGAGCGGAUGAAUGAGACUGAGUUGGAUGGGAACAUGGAUGAAACAGCUAAUGCAGUGUUCAAGGAGGUUUUAGGAUAUCGACCAGGUUAUGCAACGGGUCUAGGCCACUCUGUUAUACCUGAACCAUCUCCUUCAUUGCUGAACAAUAGGAAUUAUCAACGCAUUGUUGAGGAGAACAA
This is a long non-coding RNA of Carya illinoinensis, 1661 nucleotides long. RefSeq lists it as uncharacterized. NCBI's taxonomy places the organism in Eukaryota, Viridiplantae, Streptophyta, Magnoliopsida, Fagales, Juglandaceae. The transcript is spliced from 6 exons. The record is from RefSeq and is a predicted model, not a curated record.